ACAAAUCCAUUUUUAGCUUUUACAGUCAACUAUGAUUUUUGUAUAUAUAUCAAAGUUCGUCUUCCUUUCUCCCAAAUCUUAUAAGUUCAUGCCUUAAAAGCCUAUUUGUUACACACCUACAUCGCUGUGAACAAAAUACCACACAAAACAAUACAUCAAGAAUAGAUAUGAUGAAUGGAAUGCAAAAUUGUGUUGAAUUAGCACCAAUAAUUACCGUUCCACAUAAAAUGUGUUCAAGUUCCCCAAAAUUAGACACCAUUGUUGAAGAAUACCCUAAGGGUUUUGGGGUUUUAAAAAGGAGCAUUUUAUUUGUUAUUCCAAUUUUGUUCUCUUUGAUAUCUUAUGUCAUUUUGUAUAGGCAAUAUUAAUAUUAGUCUUACGUUGAAAAAAUAUUUGCUUUUAUUACUUGGGUUUUGUGGUAUUCAAUUUUACCUUAGUUUGCAACUCAACCUUUAAAUUAUUAAAAAAAUUACCCCUAGUAUGCAAUUCAUUUAAAAUUUUAAAACAUUCAACUACAACCGAAGUUAUAUGCAAAAUAAUUCGACAAAUUUUACUAGAUUGAUGAGUAAAAAGAAAAAAAAAAAUUAUAGCACGACCAUGCAUUUUCACAGUCAAGCUUAAUCGAGGGGUCCAAAGAUAUCUCUUCAUUAAAAGAGCGAUAAAUUCAAUCUCGUUUAAUCAUUGUCAACUACAUAAUUCAUAACGUAUUCGAGUACAAACUUUAUAGUUAUCCAAUUAAAGAUAACAUUUGAUUAGGUUUAAGGAUCAAAACAAUCAAUUAUUUGAGAUUAUUUAUGACACAUGUGCAUGUAAUAAUCUCAAAAGGGGCUAGUCUAAUUCUUAUUCUCUAAUAAGAAAGUAUGAUUAUAAUUUAUGUCUCUACGUAUAAUCUUAAUUUAUUAUUGUUCCUACAAUGAUAAUCGAUUAGGGACAUUUAAAAUAUAGUAACAUAUUCAUCUAUAUUAUUAUACAAUGACACAAAUGAAUAAUAAUGAGAACAAUAACUUUUAUUAAAUAAUUAAACAAUAAACCAAUUAUCCAUAAAAUUAUUAUAGAUCACAAUAAUAAACCAACAAUUCUCCCACUUGCUCUAUACAUAAUCAACUAGGUAUCUAAUACCCAUGCCUCUAGUAUGAUAAUCAUGUUUUGACUGAGGAAGAGCCUUAGUCAAAGGAUCUGCUACAUUAUUAUCUGUAGGUACUUUGCAUAUUCACAUCUCCUCUUUCAACAAUAUCGCCUAAGUAUGUGUUUAGACCGUUGAUGUGAUCUAAGUUCCUUUGAUUGUGCAAUUGCCCCAUUGUUGUCACAGAGUAAGGCAAUAGAGUUUGCAAUAUUGGGAACAACUCCUAGAUCCCUAAUGAACUUUGUUAUCCAAAUAUCUUCCUUAGUUGCAUUCGAGGCAGCUAGGUCAUCACACCCCCCCGCCCCCGGGAUCACAUACUCUCAACCAAAGAGACAGCGUGACAUCAACUGACAUCAUUUAUCUUCUAAAUAACACCAAUUGACCUUGACUUCUGAACCUUUUGUAAUGCUAAACAACUUGAGUAAAUUAAAAACUUAUGGAGCAGAUACUAUGAUAAACACACUUGAAAUAAACUUCUUCACAUUAACUAAAAAUAAGUUUAGGCUAAACGCCAUUUCUUUGGAGACAACACAUUAAGCCAAAAGAAAUAUCCGAACUAAUCUAACCCAAAACAAAACUUAUGUACAUGACAUAUAUAAAUCUAGAAUUGACCACAACAACAAAAAUAUAAACAAGAUUUACACAGCAAACUUGGAGACAAUGGUUAGGCUCUAGGAUCACAAUCUCUUAUUGGAAAGUGGAAAACAUUUGGAAAGGGUGAGCUAAAAAGCCCACUGAGUGACGAUUUUGUAAAACAUGCUUUUUUUUAAAAAAUACACUUUAAAGAACUUCCUUGUGCUAAACUCUUUCAAUCUUUCAAAUACUCUUUUAUCUUUGUAUAUUCUAUACCAAGGAAACUCAGUCACGAUAGUAACUAGCUCGACUUAUCGUGCUUGAUUGAAUAAUUUUGAUCACAAUAGCAAAGCACCUUUGGUCUUACCAUUCUGCCAAAUCUUGGUCAAGAUAGUGACGCACAUUUGAUUUUACUAGCCUGCCAAAUCUCGGUAGUAGUUGGCUUGUGGUUAGCAAAGCCUCAUACCUCAGACUGUACACAUUGACCGUCGAAAACUCGAUAUAUAGAAUACCAUAAUUUUCUCUAGAAAAUCAUUCUCAUUAAACUCAUAGUUUUCAAGUAGCUUUCUAAAACAGUAAACAAUUUUAUUUCAAAAACUCAAGCUUGCUCAUGAAUCAUUACUUUCAAAUCUCAUUAAUAAAUACAUGCCUUUUCAAACUAAGCAUACUCAAGUACUUUUCAUAACAUGCUUUGCAAAUCAAAUCAUAAUCAGUAAAGCUUAGCAAUGAUUUCAAACAUAUUUAGAAUCAUCAUUUAGAAAUCAUUUUGUCACUCAUAGAUGGUAGAUUAAACCAUUGACUUAUAAAUUUGUCUGAUCUCCUAUUGACCUGAAUUAAUGAGAAAUAAUUUCAUUUAAUUCUAUUUAAUCCUAAAAAUAUCAAAAUACUACUUAAAAAUUGCAAAAAUAUAUAAAAAAAAAAACAACAAAAAAAUGCCUUUUAGUAUUUGUUGGCACAUGAGGAUGGACGCUAGGGGGGCUGGCGUAUGCUGAUGGGUGGCAAGGGGGCUUUGCACUUGGCCUCCCUAUGUCAUGCCCAGAAGCUGGGUUCUUGGCUAGAAUCCUUCUUUCAACUUUGGAGGGUAAUGUCUCAAAAUUUAAAACUUAAAUGACAAAUCUUCUUUCUAAAAAGUUGCUUACAAAUGUCUUAAGUAACUUACCUCAAAAUGACAACUUCCAAAUCUAAGUUAUGUGUUCUAUAGCCUUCCAGAAGUGCACCUUGUUCAGAUUGCUCCAAAAAUUGAUCUCUCUCUCUUUUUUUAACUCAAACUUGAACCUUUUUUUACUCCAAUUUGUCUAGCAACCUAAGACUACAAAGUAUACUUAAUUUUUUGAGAUGUUUGUAUGGUCAUCACUUGACACCAUCUAUUUGGUUACUUUACACUUCUUACUAUCCUCUUUACACAUCACAUGCUUGGCUAAUGCUUGUCACUACUUACUUAGCUACUUGACACCACCUACUAACCUCUUUACAUCAUAUGCUUGCUUCACUCAAAGGCCUUGCAUGCCUUCACCUCCUACUUAAUAGCAACAAAAUUUUCUUGUCAUGACAUGCCUACUUCUUUUUACCACUAAACCUAUUCUUUUGAUAAUCUUCUUCCCUUUUUAAUCAAAGUUUCCAUCACUCUCCAAACAUGACACUCUUAUAAUGACCUACUUCCUAUGAAAUUUAGAAAAUAUUACUAAAAUGCCCUUUUUAACUGAGUCUUGAAAUACAAUUUCCUUUUCGUCCAAAUUACUAUACUUGUCUUAAAUAGGUUUUUACGAGCUCUUCGAUACAACUAUAAAUACUAAAAAUCUCAAUACAAAUUACUUUUCAAAUUUUCCUAAGUAAAUCCUUAAACUCCUUGGAAGUUGUGAAAAUUAAUGAAUUCCCUAAAUACGUAGGAAUCAGAGUUUACAUAUGUACUCAACUUUUGUAGUUAAUCCACUACAAGAAAUCGAGGCAUUCCUGAUGUUGAAAUGGAUAUCAGCGAAAAGUACGUUGGGAAUAUCCCACCAUUUCCAACAACGCUAGGCAAGUGUCAAUGGAGAUAUCCACUCCCAACAUCUAUGGUUAGAUAUCGGGAAUGGUCCACUAACCCCCAACGUCAAUGUUCAUAGGGUCAGAGAAAGAUAUAUUCUUAUUUUAAUUUUUAAUUUUUCCCAAAGCCAUGCUAACACACAUUGGGGAUGGUGUUAACCAUUCUCGAUGCCAUAAGUGAAAUGUUAGGAAUGGAGAGAACUUUACCUGAUGUUUGACUUUAUGUUAUUGGAAAUAGGGGAAUCUCCUGAUGUUUUCAAAGUGCGUUAGGAGAUGCCAUACAUAUUUGAGUUAUGUGUUCAUAGAAUAGAGAACUCAAAUCAAAAGGAAAAGAGGAAGAGGCCGAGAGAGAGAGAGAGAAAAAAAGAGAUUGUCUGCUCAUUGUCGUUGUCGCUAUUAGUGCCAGUGCGUUGUCAUCAUUAGUGGCCGCUAUCACCACUCUCUCUGUCACAACCUCUUAGUUGGAGGUAAUUAAAAGUUUAAAAUCCUAAAUAUAAACCUCUUUGCAAUUGUUCUUAAUUUCCUUUUCUACCAUUGGGUUUUUUUAUUUUAACUUUUCCAAUAUUUCUUUUUUAUUUCUGAUUUUGUUAUAUUCAAAAGUUUGGAAUGUCUUGUAAUCUCUCUUUAUGUUCUUGGCAAUAGUGGUGAGUUUAGAAGGUAAAAUAUGAUUUUAUUUUUCUUGUUGUUUACUUACUGCUUAGUAUGUCUUCAUGAUUUGAAUUUUUGCCUGAAUCCUUGUAUGUUUACGCUUGUUUGCACACAACAGCUACAAAAGAGGAGAAAGUUGAAGAAGAUGAUUAAAUAGAUGGUUACCCUAGGAAUGCAGAUGAUGACGAUGGGAAGGUUUUUUUUUUUUUAAAUGGAGGAUCUAGUGGUUACCCAAUAAACCAAUUCAUACACUAUGUCAAGGGAUCUUCGGACACUAUAUUUUUUUUAAAUAUUUUAGUGGCAAUUAGAGUAAUUUUUAUCUGUAAUUGCUCAGUGCAUGUAUCGAAUUCCUUCACAUUUAGAAUAUAAUAACAUAUUCAUGGGUAUUAUUAUACAAUAACAUGCAUUUGAAUAAUAACUUUUAUGAAAUAAUUAAUCAAUAAACCAAUUAUCCAUAAAAUUAUUGUAGAGCACAAUAAAAAACCAACAUAUCCUCCUUUAUGUUUUCUGUAUUUUUUUACUUUUUCAAGAAACCAAAAAAGGUGAUUUCAUCUCUUAGUUGUGGGAUCAAAGCAUCCAAUGCCUUAUUCUUCAAACUUAUGUGUGGUUGGACUCGAAUUUACUACUAAAACUACAAAGUAGUAUUGGUUGUUCGAUUGGUGUUAUAAGCUACUUGAUUGAUUGAAGGUCGUGGAAAUCCUUCGUCCAUCCAUUACUAAGGUUAAAUCCUUAUUUUAAUUUAUGUUUGGCAUAGUUGUCGUUUAAGGAUUUUAUUAAAUUCAAGGCUAUUAAAACACUAAUUUGUCGAGGUUUGUUGAGAAACGAAUUAAAGGUUAAUUUUUGUUUAUAUGUCAUAUCGAACUCGAGGUUAUGUAAGUCCAAAAGUUGAGUGUAGUCCAACAUUUUAGGUUGAAAUUUUUUAGACUUUAAAUCAACAUUCAACAUAAAAAUUGGAAACUAUAAAUAGUUUACCAUGCAUAAAACUCCUUUCCCCCCUAAAUAAGGAUUCUAAAAAGCUCCAACUAUUUCAUUAAUUUCUCGAGAGAUAUUGUGAUCAUUUUUCCACCCUUCAUUUUGGAACCUUGCCAACGAUGAUGAUAUAAAUCCAUUUUUAGCUUUUACAGCCACCUAUGAUUUUUGUAUAUAUAUCAAAGUUUAUCUUCCUUUCUCCCAAAUCUUAUAAGUUCUUUCCUUAAGAGCCUAUUUGUUAAACACUUACAUUGCUACCAACAAAAUACCACACAAAACAAAACCUCAACAAUAGACAUGGUGAAUGGAAUGCAAAAUUGUGUUGAAUUAGCACCAAUACUUACCGUUCCACGUAAAAGGUGUUCAAGUUUCCCAAAAUUAGACACCAUUCUUGAAGAAUAUCCUAAGGGUUUUGGGGUUUUAAAAAGGAGAAAUUUAUUUGUACUUCCAAUAAUUUUGUUCUCUUUUAUAUCUUAUGUCAUUUUGUUCAGACAAUAUUAAUAUCAGUCUUACGUUUAAAGAAUGUUUGCUAUUAUCAUUUGGCUUUUGUGGUAUUCAAUUUUUUCUUAGUUUGCAACUCAACCUUCAAGUUACUGAGAAAUUGGCCCUAGUAUACAAUUCAUUUAAAUAUUUAAAACAUGCAACUACACCCAAAGUUAUAAAUAGGAAAAAUAAUUCGACUAAUUUUACUAGAUUGAUGAGUUAAAUGAAAAAAAAAGGAAGAUUGAUAUGACAACCAAGAUUAUAAUUGAGUAAUAGGUAGAUGAACAAGUGAUUAAAGGUGGUAAUAGUUAAUAAAUAUUUACAUUAAAAGUAAAAUUGAUCCAACCAUUCAUAGAUAUAUCUUGUAGAACAAACGUGAAGUUUUUGGCGAUCUAACACAUGUCAACCAUUCAUAGAUAUAUCUUGUGGCAAAGUCCUUGGCCACCUAGCGACCUUCCUCGCCCAACAAGCUUUAUGCUAAUAACAAUUUGACUCUUCUCAUCUAGCUUCUACAUACUGCGUGAGUUGACAGUAGCCACUACCAAGUGAUGCUUCUGCAAAGACAUGACAGAAAAUCAAGGGUUAAAGUUCAACGUUGGAUGUCCUUCGCUACUUGGAGGGGGGAAUAAAACAAAACCUUUGAAAGGGUUAGACGAUAGUGAGUGGGAUUCUUUAUCAACACUUUUAUGAAUCAAAUUUUACCUUGACAAAUUACAAUCAUUUCGUUAAAUUAGUCUAUACAAAUACAUUGUGUUUCAAUAAUAGAUUAUAGAGUUUAAAGGAUAAGACAUCCCACACGAGAACAUACAGUAUGUAUGAAAAAUCUCAUCCAUAGGGUACAAAGAUCAUCUCAUUUCAUCAUUUCAACUCACAUCAAAACUUAUACUUUUAUAAAUAACAUGCAUUUUGAAACUAUAAUAGAAAUCAUAUAUCUCAAGGUUUUAAUGAAAACAUAUUGAAGGAUUUAAACACAUUGAAAAUCCUUUUUUGUUUUUGAAAAUAUUUGAAAGAAGAACCACUCACAAAUAAGUUAGCUUCUUUGUCUACUUCCUAGUCACGAACCUUCUGGCACUUUCUUGCAAUGCUUGCCAAAUUCAAGCUUAUAAAAAUCUCUAGAAAUCUUGGGAAUUCUAUCAAUUCUUUAUUAAAUUAGCAUAAGGUAAAAGCAGCUUCAGAAUAGCGUGGGGUCUUAUCGCCUAAAGGUAGAUUAUGAUCAAAGUCUCACAUACUAGAACACAAACAUGGUUAGCGCGAAUGUUAGAAAAGGACAAAAGGGAUGUCUAUGGCACAUACAACUUUAUCAUAGAAUUAAAUGAAGCCUAGACUAUGUCACGACUUAUCCUACCUUGCCUAUAAAUAGCAGUUGCAUCUUCAAGUCGAAGUGUGCAAAAACCUUCACCAAAGCGAAAGCUCUAACCUCCGUUCCCCUAAUUUGUUUUAAGUGAGAGCUUAGAAUAGAGAGAGAGAUCCUCUUUCUGCUUCCCCUUAGUAUAAAAGGCAAAAAUCAGAAACAAAGAGUAUGAAAGAUUAUACUCCGCCCCUUACCUCACUUCCGUGUAUCUGCAGUUGUAAUUAUAUUGUAUUAGUUUGUAAUGAAAACUCCCUAGCCAAAAGGCCUAAAGAUUUGAUUAUGAAUAUGAUGCAUUUCUACUUUCACUCUCCCAUUUUCUUAUCUUGCCACAUCACUUAAAUUUAAGUAAUCAUGUGUAAAUAAUGUAAGGCAUAAUGAAUACUAAAGAAUCUGGAUGUCUAUGUUACUUGUCUUGUUUAUUUAAAUGUGAUCAUGAAUUCCUUGUCCUAUUCAAGUGAAAAAAUGAAGUAUUAAUUAUUGUCACUUGAUGGGUGAUGACCUGAAUUUAGCUAAACAGGAGGUCAAAAGAUUGUAGCAAUAGAAUCUUGUCGUCGAACUCAUCCUUAGCAUACAUAUUAUAAAUGUGAGUGUGUGAUAUGCAAAGGCAACGAGAGGUCCCUCGCCUUAGUUUAGGAUGAGUUGCUUGUAUUUCAUUGAGAAUGAUUAGGUACAAAUCAUCUAUUAACUUUAAGUAUUUGGGUCUAGAAAGGCAAGAAAGUAUGACAAAGGCGUCGAGAGGUUGCUCGACUUAAUUUUAAAGUUAAUAAAUGUUUUUAUCACCUUGACAUGUUAAUUAUCCUUGAGUUUAACCUAAUUAGAUAAAUAUUUUGUUUAACCUAAUUAGAUAAAUAUUUUUGCAUGUCAGCGCCUAAUACUUUAGUUUGCAUUUCAUUUCAUUUCAUCGCCAUCUCCAUCUAGCUACUUCCUCACAUAUUAGUGUAAAUACAUAUGAUAAAAUUAUAUUGUUCACGCCCAUAUACUAUAUACAUAGCAUAAGGUUAGAACACAAGAUUAACCCUUUAGGUCACUGAAAGCCCUCAUAAAACACAUACUACAACAGAACAUAUAAAACCAUCAUGUCAAAAUUUUCUCUUGAAAAAUUACUCCCAAUUCUAGAGAACAGUUUUCUAAAAUUAUUCUUUUCUAUUCCCCUACCAUAUUUUAACAGAGGUUCUUACAAACUAGAUUCUUCAAGAGUCAUAAUAAAGAAGUUAUUGUACAAAAGGAAGGAUUUAAUGAGAAGAUUAUUGGUUGAUCAAGAAGUUCUUUUUGUAGUUACAUAUCGAUAAUAGUAAGUACAUUGACAAGAGAUCUACAAGUCAAGGCUAGUUUUCUUACUGACAAUUGUAUAAUUUUGGGCAAGUUCACUUUGAAGAAGAUUGGCAGUUCUGAUCUUCUGCAUGGGUUGUGUCUUCAAUCUGGGAAAUAUCUCAGCUACACAUUCAUCAAUAUGUGCUAUCACUAGUGAUAACAUUUUUUUGUGGCAUCAAAGACUUGGCCAUCCUUCUACUGACGCCUUGAAGUCAUUGCAAAACAAUUUACAUUUGAAAUCCUUUGCCUUUUCUCAUAAUUGUGCUACAUGUCCUUUAGCAAAACAGAGAAAACUCUCUUUUAUAUCAAAUAAUCAUCUGUCUUCCAACCCAUUUGAUCUUAUUCAUGUUGAUGUUUAGGGCCCUUUGUCCACUGCCUUUCAUGCUGGUUACUCUUAUUUCUUACCAUAGUUGAUGAUGCUACUCGUUUCACAUGGACUUUUAUGCUAAAACAAAAAACUGAUGUAAAGCUAGUCAUUCCUCAAUUUUCUAAACUUACUGAAACUCAAUAUGGCAAGCAAAUCAAACAAAUGUGUUCUGAUGCUGUCCUAGAGUUAAAGUUCAGUGAUUUCUUUAAGGAGAAAGGAGUCCUACAUCAAUUUUCAUGCACUAAUUAUCCUCAGUAGAAUUUUGUGGUAGAGAGAAAGCAUCAACAUAUACUUAGUACAAUCCGAGCAGUGUUCUUUCAGUCAGGUAUUCUCCUAAUCUUUUGGGGAGAAUGUAUACUAGUUGUCGUAUAUUUGAUCAACAGAGUUCCUUCAAGAAUGUUGAAUUGGAAGUCUCCAUUUCAACUACUCAACAACAGUCCCUAUGAUUACAAGAACUUAAAAGUGUUCGGAUCUCUAUGUUAUGCCUUCAAUUUGUCACAUAAUCACUUCAAAUGUCAACCAAGAGCAUCACCAGUUGUAUUUGUAGGUACCCCUAAGGUAUGAAAGCAUGAAAGCACAUAAACUAUACAUCAUUGAACAAUAGAAGUUUUUUAAUUCAAGAGAUAUUUUUCAUGAAGAUGUUUUUCCUUUAAAAAACACACCCACCCACAACCUAUGAAAGAUCCAUUGCCUGGUUUUUCCCCACCAAUGGCUUUUUAUGACGCUUUAAAUAUCCCUUCAGAUACAUCUCCCCUUUUCACAACCACAAGCCAUGACAAUAUCCUAGAGACCAUAAUUCAAUCCACAAAUAUUCCACCUUCACCAACCCAAUUACCCAUACUUGAAGAAAAUACCACUGAAAUUUUCAACAAUCCUCCAGUAAGAAGAUCCACCAGAGCCACCAAACAACCAUCCUACCUACAGGCCUACCAUUGUAAUCUCCUUGAAUCACAAUCCCAUACCAAAAUUCUACAAAAUAUCCUUUAAACCAAUACUUGUCAUACCAAACUCUUUCCCCUUCUUUUAGGCAUUCUAUCUUUUACGUUUCCACCCUACAUGAACCAUCCUUUUACCAUGAAGCUGUCAUUCAUGAGAGUUGGAGAAAGGCCAUGGAAGUUGAACUAAAAGCUACGGAGGCUAACAAUACAUGGAACAUUGUUCCAUUACCAAUCGAUAAGAAUAUUGUAGGAUGCCAAUGGAUAUAUAAAAUUAAGCAUAAAGUUGAUGGGACCGUUGAACAUUAUAAAGCAAGGCUUGUUGCUAAAGGGUAUAGACAACAUGAAGGUCUUGACUAUUUUGAAACCUUCUCUUUGGUAGCCAAAAUGGUUACUGUCAAAACUCUGUUGACUAUAGCAGUAUCAAAGGAUUGACACCUAGUUUAAUUACAUGUGAAUAAUGCUUUUGUUCAUGGAGACUUGAUUGAAGAAGUAUACAUAGAUAUGGCUCUUGGUUAUGAACCAAAGUUUGCCAUUCAGGGGGAGAAAAUGGUGUGCAAAAUUUUCACAUUUCCUCACUUCACUUGGUUGUCAACAGUCGAAGGCAGAUUACUCCCUAUUCGUAAAAGGCUAAGGUACUGAUUUUCUUGCAUUACUUGUCUAUGUUUAUGAUACUAUUAUUAGGGGAGCAAAUAUUAGUCUUAUCUGAAGCUUACAAAGCAUGCUCAAACAUAAGUUCUUACUUAAAGAUUUGAGGUCUCUCAAGUUCUUUCUUGGGCUUGAGUUAGCUCGGUCAUCAACUGGUAUUUAAUUUCUUUAUCACAAAGAUACUACACACUACGAUUAUUAGAAGAUGUUAGAUUGCUUGGUGCCAAACCAGUAAUAGUGCCAAUGGAUCCCUACAAUUAAACUAAAGAAUGCUGAGAAAAACUUCUUUCAAGACCCAACUGCAUAUCAGAGGCUUAUAGGUAAGUUACUAUACUUGACUAUUUCAAUGCCUGAUAUUACUUUUGGAGUACAUAAACUUAGUCAGUUCAUGGCACAUCCGGAUAGAACCCAUAUGAAUGCAGCAAACCACCUAUUAAGGUACAUCAAAGGGUCUUCAGGCCAAGGAAUUUUCUUGUCCAAGACAGAUGCUUUAUCUAUAAAAGCUUUUGUAGAUGCAAAUUGGGGAUCUUGUCCAGAUACUUGCCCUUCAUUCAGUGGUUUUUGUGUUUUCCUUCGCAAGUCUUUAAUUUCAUGAAAGUUAAAGAAAUAGCAAAGUGUUUCACAUUCAUCAGCUGAGGGAGAGUAUCGAGCAUUAGCAACAGUUACUUGUGAAGUCAUAUGGCUCAAGAGUUUGCUCAAAGAACUUCAGAUUUCAUUAGCCACACUAGCUUUUGUUUUUUGUGACAACCAAGCUGCCAUUUAUAUCGCUAACAAUCCCUUAUUUAAUUGAAGGACCAAACAUAUAGAACUUGACUGUCAUUUUGUUCGAGAUAAAGUAAUUGAUGGAUCCAUUAAACUGCUUCUUAUACGGUCGUCGAAUCAGCUUGUAGAUGCACUCACCAAGCCUCUAAAUUCCAAUACUUUGUCUCUUCAUUUACACGAGAUGGGAGUAAAAGAUAUAUACUCUCAAUCUCGAGGGAGAUUAUUAGAAGUAAUGUUGUUAAAAGAGUUUCUCUUAUUAGUUGUUACUAUUAGUUGUUAGUUGUUACUGUUAGUUACAUUCAAGUUAUCAACGAUAUCUAUAGAAAGUAUUAUAAAUAUCACUCUUUGUUAGUGAAUAAAAUAAGUGAAAGUAUGCUAUAGAAUAUGUACAAUAACUAGUUUGUUUAGGUUUGUUGAGAAAAUAUUAAUUAAAGGGUUAAUUUUUCUUUAUAUGUCAUAUAUAAUUCCAGGUUAUGUAAGUCCAAAAGUUGAGUGAUCACUAUUUUAGGUUGAAAUUUUGUAGGGCAUAACACUAUAAAUCAACAUUCAACGUACAAAUUUGAAACUAUAAAUAGUUGACAAUGCUUACUACUCUCCCUCUAAAUAAGGGUUCUAGAAAGCUACAAUCGUUUCUUUAAUUUCUCAAACAGAUGUUAUAACCGUUUUUACACCAUUCAUUUUGGAAUGUUGCCAACGAUGAUGAUUUAAAUCCUUUUUUAGCCAUUACAAUCACGUAUGAUUUCUCUUUAUAUAUUAAAGUUCGUCUUCCUUUCUCUCAAAUCAAACAAGUUCUUGCUUUAAAAGUCUAUUUGUUACACACCUGCAUCCCUGCUAACAAAUCACCACACAAAACAAUACCUAAAGAAUAGAUAUGGUGAAUGGAAUGCAAAAUUGUAUUGAAUUAGCACCAAUAAUUACUGUUUCACGUAAAAGGUGUUCAAGCUCCCCCAAAUUAGACACCAUUGUUGAAGAAUACCCCAAGUCUUUUGGGGUUUUAAAAAGGAGAAUUUUGUUUGUUCUUCCAAUUUUGUUCUCUUUUAUAUCUUAUGUCAUUUUGUUUAGGCAAUAUUAAUAUUAGUCUAAAGAAUAUUUGCUAUUUUCAUUUGGCUUUUGUGGUAUUCAAUUUUACCUUAGUUUGCAACUCAACCUUGAAGUUAUUAUGAAAUUGUCCCUAGUAUGCAAUUCAUUUAAAUUUUAAAACAUGAAACUACACCCAAAGUUAUAAAUAUGCAAAAAAAAAUUAGACAAGUUUUACAACAUUCGACAAAUUUCUAAAAAAUCGAGGGACCUUUACAUGAUCAUAUUAAAAAAAUUGUAAAUCUGUGGUCAACUUUUACAAAAUUUUACAAAAAACAUCCCAUUGCAAACCAUAUUCAUAAUGCAAAAAUCCCACCUAACUAAUGCAAAAUUUAAAAUUUGUAAUUAAAACUUGAGAUGACUUUGAUACCAAUUGAAGGGAUAGGCCCUUGGUAGCUGAAGAUUUUACUGAAUCAUUUCUCCAUUUAAUUUAGAAAUUCCAAACUACAGUACAUUGACAAAAAUAAUUAAGAAACUAAUUUUCUUAUUCAGCAUGCUUUAAUAAAAUAUAGAUUAGAAAAAGAAAAACUUACAUAGUUUGACGUCUCUGAAUCUACCAAAUCUCAAAAUUUGGUACACUAUCUAUCAGAGACCAUUCGUAUUCUCUAGAAUGAAAUUGGUUUAUGAGAACCAAUUAGGAUGAAAAAAUAUUUUUUCAGAUAGCAAAA
This 12937-nucleotide long non-coding RNA is filed under the name Cucumis sativus (cucumber). RNAcentral's name for it is "long non-coding RNA (CSAT_LNC000575)". Lineage: Eukaryota; Viridiplantae; Streptophyta; Magnoliopsida; Cucurbitales; Cucurbitaceae. The record is from RNAcentral.